RNAcentral lists this ribosomal RNA (449 nucleotides) under uncultured bacterium. RNAcentral's name for it is "partial 16S ribosomal RNA". It matches the Rfam family "Bacterial small subunit ribosomal RNA", at positions 29 to 523 of the family's 1533-position model. The record is from RNAcentral.
AACGAACGCUGGCGGCAUGCCUAACACAUGCAAGUCGAACGAAGGCUUCGGCCUUAGUGGCGCACGGGUGCGUAACGCGUGGGAAUCUGCCCCUCGGUUCGGAAUAACAGUUAGAAAUGACUGCUAAUACCGGAUGAUGACUUCGGUACAAAGAUUUAUCGCCGAGGGAUGAGCCCGCGUAAGAUUAGGUAGUGGGUGGGGUAAAGGCCUACCAAGCCGACGACAUUUAGCUGGUCUGAGAGGAGGAUCAGCCACACUGGGACUGAGACACGGCCCAGACUCCUACGGGAGACAGCAGUGGGGAAUAUUGGACAAUGGGCGAAAGCCUGAUCCAGCAAUGCCGCGUGAGUGAUGAAGGCCUUAGGGUUGUAAAGCUCUUUUACCAGGGAUGAUAAUGACAGUACCUGGAGAAUAAGCUCCGGCUAACUCCGUGCCAGCCGCCGCCGUAA